Molecule: long non-coding RNA, 1303 nt
Organism: Dermochelys coriacea (leatherback sea turtle)
Lineage: Eukaryota; Metazoa; Chordata; Testudines; Dermochelyidae
Exons: 3
Source: RefSeq, a predicted model, not a curated record
UAAUAUUAAAUCCUUAAUACAAGUCUGUCUCUUCCCAUCUAUCAGGCCAGGUCUACCUUCGAAAGAAUUUGCUGAUAUAACUAUACCAGUAAACCCCACCAGUAGAGAGACAGAUAGUAUCAGCAAAAGAGUUCUUUGGUAUAGAUUGUACCAGUUUCCUAAAUGAAAUAAGCUAUACUAGCAAAAGGACUUUUUUGAUCAUGUAACUGCAUCAACACUAGGAAGGCGUUUUGCUGGUAUAAAUGUGUAAAGAUUAACUCCCCUGACAUUAUAUCAUCAACAGUUUCUAGUAUAGACCUGGCCUGGGGCAAAUGCUUAACCUGAACUCAUCACACACAAACUGUUGGAAAACAAUAGAAUGCAGGAAACACUGGCUUCUCUGCUUUAGGAAGCAUAGUCAGGACAGAAGGAAUUAAAAUUCCACCUGUCUGCAAGAAGGGAAUGUUCAUUUUACAGUGUUGUUCAAUGGAACGUUCCUUACCGGCCAAGGAAUCUGUUCCAUGACAAGUACAAGGCUCCAGAACUGUCAUAAAGUGUGAUCUAUUAUUUAGAGACUGGAGACCAGGACUUUGAGGUUCUAGGUAGACUUUGAUUACUGUGUCGGUUAGAAGUAACAGCAUCUCUCUGCCUUAGUCCAGGUCUCACUACAAAUGUUUGUCAGCAUAGCUGUGUGGUCAGGAUGUGGAAAAAACUCACCCUGUAGCCGACAUAGCUAUGCUAGCAAAACGCCCAGUGUAGUUGUAGUCAUGCCAACAGCAGAGUGCUGCUUUUGGCAUAGUCAUUUGGGGAGGUGCUAUUACUAUACUGACAGGUAAAACACCAUCUGUCUACGUUAGGUGGGUCUGCAAUAGGGAGCUCUGCUGGUACAAGUAUACCAAUAGAGCUAUACUGGCAAAGCAUUUGUAGUAUGGCUGUGGCUUUAGCUUAUCCAUCUUAUAAAUAGGUGGUCUACUAUUUUCCUUCCUCUGAGAGGUGUUGGGAGGCUUAUUCUUCAGAAAUGGCCACAUUCUGAUCACUUUGCUUUCGCUGAAUGCUACUUUAUAAGUGGUUCUGCAGGAAGUAAUUGGGAAUCUUACGGUGCAAAGUGCUAUUCAUUGUGAGUAAGUGUAUCAGAAUCUGGCACAAAGUUCUGUGAAAGCUGGGAGUGAAACAUGCUUUUCGCUAUUACAACUCAUGAUUGAUCCUAGAGUAAAACAGAACUAAUAAUAUUCACAAAUCAGGAGCCUAGAUUACAACUAGGGAAGGACAGAACCAAACUAACUGCUCCCCAGCAGUUUUCUCAGUAUAUUCUUAAACCCUGUUC